GUGCCCCUCUCUCUUUUCUUCCUUUGGAUUCGUAGCCUCCCAUACUUAUGCCUGCUAGAAAUCGAAUCUAUUGGCACCAUGGAAUCGAGGUAAAAUCAUGAUCUCACUUCCUCUCUUUCUUUGGCCUUGCACAUGCCACCAACCAUUGGGUUCAUCCCCUACUUUUGGCCAGGUUCUUUUCAUUUUUUUUGGCCGUUAGCAUUGCCGUCCCUUAAAACCAAGUUCUAGAUCG
RNAcentral lists this long non-coding RNA (232 nucleotides) under Elaeis guineensis (African oil palm). RNAcentral's name for it is "long non-coding RNA (EGUI_LNC012721)". The record is from RNAcentral. Lineage: Eukaryota; Viridiplantae; Streptophyta; Magnoliopsida; Arecales; Arecaceae.